RNAcentral lists this ribosomal RNA (515 nucleotides) under uncultured bacterium. Its description in RNAcentral is "partial 16S ribosomal RNA". It matches the Rfam family "Bacterial small subunit ribosomal RNA", at positions 28 to 523 of the family's 1533-position model. The record is from RNAcentral.
GAUGAACGCUGGCGGCGUGCCUAAUACAUGCAAGUCGAGCGAAUGGAUUAAGAGCUUGCUCUUAUGAAGUUAGCGGCGGACGGGUGAGUAACACGUGGGUAACCUGCCCAUAAGACUGGGAUAACUCCGGGAGACCGGGGCUAAUACCGGAUAACAUUUUGAACCGCAUGGUUCGAAAUUGAAAGGCGGCUUCGGCUGUCACUUAUGGAUGGACCCGCGUCGCAUUAGCUAGUUGGUGAGGUAACGGCUCACCAAGGCAACGAUGCGUAGCCGACCUGAGAGGGUGAUCGGCCACACUGGGACUGAGACACGGCCCAGACUCCUACGGGAGGCAGCAGUAGGGAAUCUUCCGCAAUGGACGAAAGUCUGACGGAGCAACGCCGCGUGAGUGAUGAAGGCUUUCGGGUCGUAAAACUCUGUUGUUAGGGAAGAACAAGUGCUAGUUGAAUAAGCUGACACCUUGACGGUACCUAACCAGGAAGCCACGGCUAACUACGUGCCAGCCGCCGCGGUAA